GGCUGGAUAGCUGACGCAUGGUCCUCUGGGAAGCUUCAUGCGGUAUGGGAUGGGGUCGCGUCCUAUCAGCUUGAUGGCGGGGUAACGGCCCACCAUGGCUUCGACGGGUAGCCGGCCUGAGAGGGCGACCGGCCACAUUGGGACUGAGAUACGGCCCAGACUCCUACGGGAGGCAGCAGUGGGGAAUAUUGCACAAUGGGCGCAAGCCUGAUGCAGCGACGCCGCGUGCGGGAUGACGGCCUUCGGGUUGUAAACCGCUUUUGACUGGGAGCAAGCCCUUCGGGGUGAGUGUACCUUUCGAAUAAGCACCGGCUAACUACGUGCCAGCAGCCGCGGUAAUACGUAGGGUGCAAGCGUUAUCCGGAAUUAUUGGGCGUAAAGGGCUCGUAGGCGGUUCGUCGCGUCCGGUGUGAAAGUCCAUCGCUUAACGGUGGAUCCGCGCCGGGUACGGGCGGGCUUGAGUGCGGUAGGGGAGACUGGAAUUCCCGGUGUAACGGUGGAAUGUGUAGAUAUCGGAAAAGAACACC
Molecule: ribosomal RNA, 527 nt
Filed under: Bifidobacterium adolescentis
Lineage: Bacteria; Bacillati; Actinomycetota; Actinomycetes; Bifidobacteriales; Bifidobacteriaceae
Description: partial 16S ribosomal RNA
Rfam family: Bacterial small subunit ribosomal RNA
Source: RNAcentral